Cercocebus atys (sooty mangabey) is the source of this 108-nucleotide unclassified non-coding RNA. It matches the Rfam family "Y RNA". From Rfam's summary of the family: Y RNAs are components of the Ro ribonucleoprotein particle (Ro RNP), in association with Ro60 and La proteins. NCBI's taxonomy places the organism in Eukaryota, Metazoa, Chordata, Mammalia, Primates, Cercopithecidae. The record is from Ensembl.
GACUUGGUCCAAAGGUAGUGAAUUCUCUCACUUAAUUGUUCAGUUAUAGAUCCAACUCCUUGUUGUACUCUUUCUCCCCUUCUCACUACUGCGCUUGAUUAGUCUUUA